RNAcentral lists this unclassified non-coding RNA (253 nucleotides) under uncultured delta proteobacterium. Its description in RNAcentral is "contains 16S-23S intergenic spacer region". It matches the Rfam family "Bacterial small subunit ribosomal RNA", at positions 524 to 776 of the family's 1533-position model. Lineage: Bacteria; Deltaproteobacteria. The record is from RNAcentral.
UACGGAGGGUGCAAGCGUUGUUCGGAAUCAUUGGGCGUAAAGGGCGCGUAGGCGGGUCGUUAAGUCCGAUGUGAAAUCCCUCGGCUCAACCGAGGAAGUGCAUCGGAUACUGGCGGUCUUGAGUCCUGGAGAGGGUAGCGGAAUUCCCAGUGUAGAGGUGAAAUUCGUAGAUAUUGGGAGGAACACCGGUGGCGAAGGCGGCUACCUGGACAGUGACUGACGCUGAGGCGCGAAAGCAUGGGUAGCAAACAGG